This 498-nucleotide unclassified non-coding RNA is filed under the name Hevea brasiliensis (rubber tree). The record is from RNAcentral. Lineage: Eukaryota; Viridiplantae; Streptophyta; Magnoliopsida; Malpighiales; Euphorbiaceae.
UGAUCUUCUUCAUGCAGAUCAUCUAUUCUCCGAUAUUAAGAAAAGGUGCACGAUAGAAUCAGUAUUUGCAGAAGUUGACAGGAUUCUGAGGCCAGAAGGUAAGUUGAUCGUGCGGGACAAUGCUGAAACUAUUCUUGAAAUAGAGAAUAUGGCUAGGUCAGUAAAAUGGAAAGUGAAGAUGUCUUACUCAAAGAAUGGUGAAGGAUUACUAUUUGUUCAAAAAUCAUUUUGGCGUCCAAAUCAAGAACAGAUAGUCAAGUCAGCCAUUGCAUAAGCAGAGAAGAAAAUUUUCCACAAUUAGAUACAAAUCUGAUGUUCCUUUUAUAGUUUAGUUCACUUCCACUAAAUUAGUAGAGAAUACCAUCAUGAUAUAGCUAUCAUACGGUAAGUACGAUUUAUUGUUUUAUGUACUGAGUUUUCAUCAUUUUGGCCAUUCUCUGUAUAAUUACCUCAACUUUGUGUUUCAUAUAAUGGAAAAAGUAUACAUUUGUGAAAAAA